UUAAGUUAAUAAGGGCGCACGGUGGAUGCCUUGGCACUAGAAGCCGAAGAAGGACGUGACUAACGACGAAAUGCUUUGGGGAGCUGUAAGUAAGCGCUGAUCCAGAGAUGUCCGAAUGGGGGAACCCACUAGUUAAUGACUAGUAUCCAUAUCUGUUAAGGAUAUGAGAAGGAAGACGCAGUGAACUGAAACAUCUAAGUAGCUGCAGGAAGAGAAAGCAAAAGCGAUUGCCUUAGUAGCGGCGAGCGAAACGGCAGGAGGGCAAACCGAAGUGUUUACACUUCGGGGUUGUAGGACUGCGAUAUAGGAUUAAUCAUUAUAGAAGAAUUACCUGGGAAGGUAAGCCAAAGAGAGUAACAGCCUCGUAUUUAAAAUGAUAGAUUAACCUUAGCAGUAUCCUGAGUACGGCGAGACACGCGAAAUCUCGUCGGAAUCUGGGAGGACCAUCUCCCAACCCUAAAUACUCUCUAGUGACCGAUAGUGAACCAGUACCGUGAGGGAAAGGUGAAAAGCACCCCGGGAGGGGAGUGAAAUAGAACCUGAAACCGUGUGCCUACAACAAGUUCGAGCCCGUUAAUGGGUGAGAGCGUGCCUUUUGUAGAAUGAACCGGCGAGUUACGAUAUGAUGCGAGGUUAAGUUGAAGAGACGGAGCCGUAGGGAAACCGAGUCUUAAUAGGGCGUCAUAGUAUCAUGUUGUAGACCCGAAACCAUGUGACCUACCCAUGAGCAGGUUGAAGGUGAGGUAAAACUCACUGGAGGACCGAACCAGGGCACGUUGAAAAGUGCUUGGAUGACUUGUGGGUAGCGGAGAAAUUCCAAACGAACUUGGAGAUAGCUGGUUCUCUCCGAAAUAGCUUUAGGGCUAGCGUCGAUGUUAAGUCUCUUGGAGGUAGAGCACUGUUUGGGUGAGGGGUCCAUCCCGGAUUACCAAUCUCAGAUAAACUCCGAAUGCCAACGAGAUAUAAUCGGCAGUCAGACUGCGAGUGCUAAGAUCCGUAGUCGAAAGGGAAACAGCCCAGACCACCAGCUAAGGUCCCAAAAUAUAUGUUAAGUGGAAAAGGAUGUGGGGUUGCACAGACAACUAGGAUGUUAGCUUAGAAGCAGCUAUUCAUUCAAAGAGUGCGUAAUAGCUCACUAGUCGAGUGACCCUGCGCCGAAAAUGUACCGGGGCUAAAACAUAUUACCGAAGCUGUGGAUGACACAAAAGUGUCAUGGUAGGAGAGCGUUCUAUGUGUGAAGAAGGUGUACCGUGAGGAGCGCUGGAACGCAUAGAAGUGAGAAUGCCGGUAUGAGUAGCGCAAGACAGGUGAGAAUCCUGUCCACCGUAAGACUAAGGUUUCCAGGGGAAGGCUCGUCCGCCCUGGGUUAGUCGGGACCUAAGGAGAGACCGAAAGGUGUAUCCGAUGGACAACAGGUUGAUAUUCCUGUACUAGAGUAUAUAGUGAUGGAGGGACGCAGUAGGCUAACUAAACCAGACGAUUGGAAGUGUCUGGUCAAACAGUGAGGUGUGAUAUGAGUCAAAUGCUUAUAUCUUUAACAUUGAGCUGUGACGAGGAGCGAAGUUUAGUAGCGAAGUUAGUGAUGUCACACUGCCAAGAAAAGCUUCUAGCGAUACAUAUACUCUACCCGUACCGCAAACCGACACAGGUAGUCGAGGCGAGUAGCCUCAGGUGAGCGAGAGAACUCUCGUUAAGGAACUCGGCAAAAUGGCCCCGUAACUUCGGGAGAAGGGGCGCUGAUUUUAGAUCAGCCGCAGUGAAUAGGCCCAAGCAACUGUUUAUCAAAAACACAGCUCUCUGCUAAAUCGUAAGAUGAUGUAUAGGGGGUGACGCCUGCCCGGUGCUGGAAGGUUAAGAGGAGUGCUUAGCGUAAGCGAAGGUAUGAAUUGAAGCCCCAGUAAACGGCGGCCGUAACUAUAACGGUCCUAAGGUAGCGAAAUUCCUUGUCGGGUAAGUUCC
RNAcentral lists this ribosomal RNA (1959 nucleotides) under human gut metagenome. RNAcentral's name for it is "bacterial LSU rRNA". It matches the Rfam family "Bacterial large subunit ribosomal RNA", at positions 3 to 1984 of the family's 2925-position model. The record is from RNAcentral.